UCGGGCUUCGGGCUUCGUCGGGCCGGGCUAAAAAGCCCGGAUAAAAAACGGGCUACCAAAAUUAGUGCCCGAGCCCGGCCCGGAACGGGUAGUCGGGUUUUCGGGCGGCCCGGUUUUUUUUAUUAUUAUUUUUUUUACUUUUAGUGUUCAAACUCAACUAUAUAAAUAGCAUUAAUAAUUCUCGCGCGUCAUAUUUUUUACUCAUCCGCUAUAAAUAUUAUAUAAUUCGCGCGCGCCGUAUUUUUACUCAUCCCCUAUCUACGAGUUUCUCGCGCGCCCUAUUUUUACUCAUCCACUACCUACGAGUUUCUCGCGCCCUAUUUUUACGCAUCCGCUACUUACGAGUUUCUCGCGCGUCAUAUUUUUACUCAUCCGCUACCUAGGACUUUCGCGCGCCCUAUAUUUACUCAUCCGCUACUACGAGUUUCUCGCGCGCCCUAUUUUUAUUCAUCCACUAUGUACGAGUUUCUCGCGCGCCCUAUUUUUACUCAUCCACUACCUACGAGUUUCUCGCACCCUAUUUUU
RNAcentral lists this long non-coding RNA (525 nucleotides) under Trifolium pratense (red clover). RNAcentral describes it as "long non-coding RNA (TPRA_LNC006838)". Lineage: Eukaryota; Viridiplantae; Streptophyta; Magnoliopsida; Fabales; Fabaceae. The record is from RNAcentral.